AACGAACGCUGGCGGCAUGCCUAACACAUGCAAGUCGAACGAGACCUUCGGGUCUAGUGGCGCACGGGUGCGUAACGCGUGGGAACCUGCCCUUAGGUUCGGAAUAACUCCCCGAAAGGGGUGCUAAUACCGGAUAAUGUCUUCGGACCAAAGAUUUAUCGCCUUUGGAUGGGCCCGCGUUGGAUUAGCUAGUUGGUAGGGUAAAAGCCUACCAAGGCGACGAUCCAUAGCUGGUCUGAGAGGAUGAUCAGCCACACUGGGACUGAGACACGGCCCAGACUCCUACGGGAGGCAGCAGUGAGGAAUAUUGGACAAUGGGCGAAAGCCUGAUCCAGCAAGGCCGCGUGAGUGAUGAAGGCCUUAGGGUUGUAAAGCUCUUUUACCCGGGAUGAUAAUGACAGUACCGGGAGAAUAAGCUCCGGCUAACUCCGU
Molecule: ribosomal RNA, 432 nt
Filed under: uncultured bacterium
Lineage: Bacteria
Description: partial 16S ribosomal RNA
Rfam family: Bacterial small subunit ribosomal RNA
Source: RNAcentral